AUAUAAUAUAAUAAAUUACACAUUUUAUAAAAUGAAGAAUUUUUUUUAUAAUCCUAAUUUAUAAAAAUAUUUAAUAUUAUUUUCAAUUUAUUCAGGUAUGAUGGUGUGACUACGUGAGGCCGUGAUGGUGUUGCAGAUUCAAUACGUGUAAAGAUGUUUUACCCAUCCCUCAUCUUCAUUGGGAAAUCUUGUCAACGCCAAUUUUUAAAAUACAACAUAAUUUAUCUUCAUUUGUGUUGACAUACGACAACAAAUAAUACGUUGUUGUGAUGUUGGCGUGAGCGAUUAAUGAAAACAAACAGGAAAGGACAUAUUUGUAUUAUUCUUUUUUUCGACGCGAUAACGCUCAUCCCACAUCAUGUACCGAAUGGACAACAGGAUAGGAUGAUGACGACGAGGAGAAGGAGUAACAGAUAGAAGUGGUGGAAGCAGAGAAAAAUGUGGCGACGAUCGUGUUGGUUUUUUAUUUUUAUAACGACAAACCGUCGAUGCGUCUACGCUCACGUACUAAUUAGGGUUGGACCAGAAAUCUCGAGCACGUCUUCUUGCUACGCGGCGCGUUUACGUACCACGUACCAUCUUCGUGGAUUUACAGACCCAUCGAUCCUCGGGGUUUCACCUGCUAAGCACGAUAAGCAAUUGGCCGCGGUUGCAGGAUGACUUCGUCGAUUGCGGUACAGGUUUCGGUGUUCGUGGUCUUGGCGUUGUUGCGACCGCGGUCCACGCUCGCUAGUCCACACGGAGAUCUACCGUCGUACGACCACUACGCCACUAACGAUGGCGUGUCCAACGUCACUGCCGCCGACCACGACGUCCGAAUGGAUCAUGCUCGACAUAGCUACGGUAAACAUUACUCGCAAGUUUUUUUUAACUUUUUUGUUUAACGCUGUUACACACACACACACACACACACACACAAUAAUAUUAUCUUUCUCCUACCACCUCUUCUGAGGCCGAUUGAAUGCACGCGACGUGUGCUUUAUAUACGGAAACGUUGACCCAUAUAUUAUUACGUACCUACUUAUUUUAUAAAUAAAAAAAUUACGUAUUCACGUACUGUUUUUGAGUGUUAUUUUUACCAAGGAUUUGGCAUCUAUAAACCCCAAAAUAGAUGCAUCGUCUUUGAAAAAAUCAACCCUCUUAGACUACGUGUGUAUCUCUAUUAUAAUAAUAUAAUAUAUUUAAUUUUUUGAGUAUAAUAAGCUAAGUAGUCAGUGGUUUAAAUUUGCGAUAAAGGAUACCAACAACAAACCCAGGUGGUUCAUAAGAAUUCACUGUUUAAUAGAAGAUAAAAGUAUAUAAGUAUUAUAGUAGAGUAACUUAUCAGACAAAACAUUAAUUAUUUAUUUAAAAUAUAUACUUUUAGAUGUAUUAAUUAAGUACAAGUAUAAGGUAAAUGACAAUCCUAAAAACUUAAAUUUAAGUGAUUUGAAAUCUUCAUAGAUAAAGGUUAUAAAAUUAUAUAAAAAAAAAUCAAAAUAUAACAACUAAUAGAGGAACAAUGGUGGUUACACGUUGUCUUCAUCACCCUUAGUCGCUAUAAGAUUUAUUUUAUAUGGUACCUAUAUAAGUAAUAUGCUUUAUAUUAUAUGACGUAUGUAUGAUGUCUUAACUUACUAUAAUAAUAUGUUACCCUUCCAGCACAACAUUUUCAAGGUUUCAAUGGAAGGGUGCAAAAAGGGAGUUUGAAAACAAAACAUACAUACAAUAUAAUGCUAUUGUUAUGGAUGCUAUUACUUUUCGUGGUUUACACGUAUGGAAAUACAUCAGAAAUAUCUACCCCAUUUGGGGGAUGGUACGUGAGAUGUAUGAUACUCGUGUAGUUAUUUUAAUGGACAAAUAAAAUUGUCAUCGUCUGCUGCAUUCGCAUUAAGUUUUCAACCCUCGAAAAUAUUUACGGUGUGUUUAAUGUCUAUACUAUUUAAAGUGAAUUUUAUGUCCAUGAUAUAUACUUACUAUAUACUUAAUUAUAAUUAAUUAAAAUAGACUCGAUAAUUUAAAAAAAAUGAUAAAUUGAACUACAUUCGUAAUCUCUCGAAAAAACCUUUGUAUAAUUCAAAUAAAAGUAAUAAAUUUAAUAAACUCAAUAUAUUUCGAAGUCGGAGGAGAUGAGAGAAUUUUUGCACCAUAAUUAGUUUUUUUUUCUCAGAAGCUCUAUAAUUUGAACUCUAUUUUAUUAGUUCUAGAAUAUAGUUUCAAAACUUGUGGAUUUAUAAAUAAAGGACUGGGUGAGUAGGAGAAAUUACUGUAAUACAAAGCGAGAAGACUUAUAAAGGUGUAACUAUACUGAGCGCACGGAUAAGACUUGAGACAAAAGCGGUUUCUAUAUUAUUUUGAUAAAUUUGUUCUUUUUGAUAACAUUAAGUUCUGGUAAUAUUUCAAUCAAAGAUUCAAAAUCAUGUACUAUGGCUGUUCUGCAUGACUCCGAUCUGGAUAAUAAGAAAAAUGAUUUCGAAGUUCCAACCAUACUAUCAAACGAAGUAUUGUUUAACAGUACUAUGUCAAACAUCAAUUAUUUAAGAAAUCAAAAAUGGAUCAGGUAAAAUGUAAGACGAUUUUGUAUUAGAUUGUCCUCAACAGUUCAUCUCAAAUAAAGAUAAUUAUAAUUUUUUAAAUAUACUUAAACAUUUUUUGUCUUACGCAUUUUUUGAAUUUUUCUUUGAUUUGUUUGUUUCAUUUAUUCUCAUUUAUAAUUUUAUUUUUGACUAAAUUUAAAAUCUUUUGAAUUAUUGAUGUAUAAACUUUAUAUACAAUUUUUCAAUUAGUUAUUAAGUUAUAUUAUAUAUAAUUAUGUUACUUAACCCUAAGUCUAUUACUAAUCGGAUAAAUAUGUAUUUCACAAUAGUUAUUACUUAUAUAUAUAUAUAUUUGCAUUGUUUAUUUUUUUAACUACUUUUAUGCAGGUACUGUAUAUUAUAUAACUAAACUUAAUAAUUUAAUAAUGUCUCGUAUUUUUCUGAUAAACUGAAAGUUCAAUUAAUAAAAUGAAUAAAAAGAUUAAAAGAAAAUUAAUAUAUCAUGCAUAGAGUAAUAUUAUAAACAGUUCAAAGUAGAUAAAAGGAAUGGCGUAUAGUGCAUGUAGCAUGAUGGGCUCAUAAUUCUAGAGGGCCCAUCAAUAAGAAUGUAUGGAAUCCAAAAAAAAAAAAAAAAUUAUCAUUAUUAUAAAAUUUAAAAUACAAUGGUGUUUAGAAAAAAAAUAUAUCCUUAUAAAAUAAAAUUGAUUUAAAAUUAAUUUAAUUUAAUAUUUAGAAAAAUUACUGACAUACGAUUAUUUUAUGUAUAGUGUUUGCUCGUUGACGUCUGAGAUAAUUGUGGAACGGACGAACUUACUCUAUAUUUAAAGCGGUAUAACAUGUUUUUUAUUAUUUAUAACCCACUAGUCGAGGCUGAUAUAAAGGUAAAUUUGGUGGCGGAGUAAGGGUCCUCUAGAUUAUUUUGACACCGGCAAAAUUCUAGUUAGGUACGCCACUAUAUGUAAUAGUAUAACAUAUUAUAUAAAUAAUAAUCACAAUAUAAUAGUAUAUAUCUAUGAUCUACGUAUGAAAAUUGUAUAAAUUAUAUUGGAUUUAAUUUUAAAGUUGGUCAAAAUUCCUUACAUCCAUUUUGUGAAUUAAUUAAUAUCGACAAUACCUCUAUAGUUAAUAGUAUAAAAUAUAAAUGUAUAAUAUUACAGUUAGGUUACGGUCGUUAAAGUCUUUAUGUUUUUUGGGAGUUUUGAACUUGUAUACAAAUCAUAUUCAACUUUGCAUUACUGUGAAGCGUAAAGCCCUCAAUACUCCUCUAGUAUAAAUCUAAACAAUAUAUAUAAACGUAGAUUAGUGAAAGUUUCUAUAUGUAAGUAAUAUAUAGACAUAUAAUAGGUA
Long non-coding RNA from Aphis gossypii (cotton aphid), 3863 nucleotides. RefSeq lists it as uncharacterized. The transcript has 3 exons. NCBI's taxonomy places the organism in Eukaryota, Metazoa, Arthropoda, Insecta, Hemiptera, Aphididae. The record is from RefSeq and is a predicted model, not a curated record.